Molecule: ribosomal RNA, 797 nt
Filed under: uncultured bacterium
Lineage: Bacteria
Description: bacterial SSU rRNA
Rfam family: Bacterial small subunit ribosomal RNA
Source: RNAcentral
AGAGUUUGAUCCUGGCUCAGGACGAACGUUGGCGGCGUGCUUAAUACAUGCAAGUCAACUGAAGCAUCGGUAGCAAUACUGGUGUGGAGGUGGCGCACGGGUGAGUAACACGUAGGUAAUCUACCUAUAGGACUGACAUAACUCCGGGAAACCGGUGCUAAUAUCAGAUGAUGCAGCGGCUCGACAUCGAGACAGUUGUUAAACCUUCGGGGCCUAUAGAUGAGCCUGCGUCUGAUUAGCUAGUUGGCGGAGUAACAGCCCACCAAGGCAACGAUCAGUAGCUGGUCUGAGAGGAUGAUCAGCCACACUGGGACUGAGACACGGCCCAGACUCCUACGGAAGGCAGCAGUGGGGAAUAUUGGACAAUGGGCGGAAGCCUGAUCCAGCAAUACCGCGUGUGUGAAGAAGGCCUUAGGGUUGUAAAGCACUUUCAAUUGGAAGGAAAACCUCGUGGCUAAUAUCCACGAGCUUGACAUUACCUUUAGAAGAAGCACCGGCUAACUCCGUGCCAGCAGCCGCGGUAAUACGGAGGGUGCAAGCGUUAAUCGGAAUUACUGGGCGUAAAGCGUGCGUAGGCGGCUCGUUAAGUCAGAUGUGAAAGCCCUGGGCUCAACCUGGGAACUGCAUUUGAAACUGGCGAGCUAGAGUUUGAGAGAGGUAAGUGGAAUUUCAGGUGUAGCGGUGAAAUGCGUAGAGAUCUGAAGGAACACCAGUGGCGAAGGCGACUUACUGGCUUAAAACUGACGCUGAGGUACGAAAGCGUGGGUAGCAAACAGGAUUAGAUACCCUGGUAGUCC